ACGCGGGAAAUCUUACCAGGUCCAGACAUAUGGAGGAUUGACAGACAGUUAACCAAAACGCACCAGCUAGUUUAACAAAACUAACAGCUCUUUCAAGAUUAUGUGGUAGGUGGUGCAUGGCCGUUCUUAGUUCGUGAAGUGAUUCGUUCGCCCAAUCGCAUUUCCAAACAACUAACAACUCAGAAUGCUGGGCAAUAGGACGUUUAAAGUGGCUCCUUACACCUUACAAAGGAAUGGCUGAUGAGAAACAACUCGAUCCGCUCAGCGUUCUAUUGGAAUGCAACGGACGUGAUUGCAAGCUUUUGUUUUGAGUUGCGGUUUUACUGAAAGACUCUACAAUCCGC
RNAcentral lists this ribosomal RNA (344 nucleotides) under Globigerinoides sacculifer. RNAcentral's name for it is "bacterial SSU rRNA". It matches the Rfam family "Eukaryotic small subunit ribosomal RNA", at positions 1203 to 1392 of the family's 1831-position model. The record is from RNAcentral. Lineage: Eukaryota; Foraminifera; Rotaliida; Globigerinidae.